GGUUAAGCGACUAAGCGUACACGGUGGAUGCCCUGGCAGUCAGAGGCGAUGAAGGGCGUGCUAAUCUGCGAUAAGCGCCGGUAAGGUGAUAUGAACCGUUAUAACCGGCGAUACCCGAAUGGGGAAACCCAGUGUGACUCGUCACACUAUCAUUAACUGAAUCCAUAGGUUAAUGAGGCGAACCGGGGGAACUGAAACAUCUAAGUACCCCGAGGAAAAGAAAUCAACCGAGAUUCCCCCAGUAGCGGCGAGCGAACGGGGAGGAGCCCAGAGCCUGAAUCAGCAUGUGUGUUAGUGGAAGCGUCUGGAAAGGCGCGCGAUACAGGGUGACAGCCCCGUACACAAAAGCGCAUGUGCUGUGAGCUCGAUGAGUAGGGCGGGACACGUGGUAUCCUGUCUGAAUAUGGGGGGACCAUCCUCCAAGGCUAAAUACUCCUGACUGACCGAUAGUGAACCAGUACCGUGAGGGAAAGGCGAAAAGAACCCCGGCGAGGGGAGUGAAAAAGAACCUGAAACCGUGUACGUACAAGCAGUGGGAGCCCCACCACUAAGCCAGUGGUGAACUCCACAUACGCAUCCUUUGCUGAGGAUACGGUUAACGGAGCGAAAGCGACGUUCAACCGCAAAAGAAGCAGAGGGGGCUUAGUGGUGGGGUGACUGCGUACCUUUUGUAUAAUGGGUCAGCGACUUAUAUUCUGUAGCAAGGUUAACCGAAUAGGGGAGCCGGAGGGAAACCGAGUCUUAACCGGGCGUUAAGUUGCAGGGUAUAGACCCGAAACCCGGUGAUCUAGCCAUGGGCAGGUUGAAGGUUGGGUAACACUAACUGGAGGACCGAACCGACUAAUGUUGAAAAAUUAGCGGAUGACCUGUGGCUGGGGGUGAAAGGCCAAUCAAACCGGGAGAUAGCUGGUUCUCCCCGAAAGCUAUUUAGGUAGCGCCUCGUGAAUUCAUCUCCGGGGGUAGAGCACUGUUUCGGCUAGGGGGCCAUCCCGGCUUACCAACCCGAUGCAAACUGCGAAUACCGGAGAAUGUUAUCACGGGAGACACACGGCGGGUGCUAACGUCCGUCGUGAAGAGGGAAACAACCCAGACCGCCAGCUAAGGUCCCAAAGUCAUGGUUAAGUGGGAAACGAUGUGGGAAGGCCCAGACAGCCAGGAUGUUGGCUUAGAAGCAGCCAUCAUUUAAAGAAAGCGUAAUAGCUCACUGGUCGAGUCGGCCUGCGCGGAAGAUGUAACGGGGCUAAACCAUGCACCGAAGCUGCGGCAGCGACACUAUGUGUUGUUGGGUAGGGGAGCGUUCUGUAAGCCUGUGAAGGUGGCCUGUGAGGGUUGCUGGAGGUAUCAGAAGUGCGAAUGCUGACAUAAGUAACGAUAAAGCGGGUGAAAAGCCCGCUCGCCGGAAGACCAAGGGUUCCUGUCCAACGUUAAUCGGGGCAGGGUGAGUCGACCCCUAAGGCGAGGCCGAAAGGCGUAGUCGAUGGGAAACGGGUUAAUAUUCCCGUACUUGGUGUUACUGCGAAGGGGGGACGGAGAAGGCUAUGUUGGCCGGGCGACGGUUGUCCCGGUUUAAGCGUGUAGGUGUGUGUUCCAGGUAAAUCCGGUUCACUUUAACACUGAGGCGUGAUGACGAGGCACUACGGUGCUGAAGCAACAAAUGCCCUGCUUCCAGGAAAAGCCUCUAAGCAUCAGGUAACAUCAAAUCGUACCCCAAACCGACACAGGUGGUCAGGUAGAGAAUACCAAGGCGCUUGAGAGAACUCGGGUGAAGGAACUAGGCAAAAUGGUGCCGUAACUUCGGGAGAAGGCACGCUGACAUGUAGGUGAAGUGAUUUACUCAUGGAGCUGAAGUCAGUCGAAGAUACCAGCUGGCUGCAACUGUUUAUUAAAAACACAGCACUGUGCAAACACGAAAGUGGACGUAUACGGUGUGACGCCUGCCCGGUGCCGGAAGGUUAAUUGAUGGGGUCAGCGCAAGCGAAGCUCCUGAUCGAAGCCCCGGUAAACGGCGGCCGUAACUAUAACGGUCCUAAGGUAGCGAAAUUCCUUGUCGGGUAAGUUCCGACCUGCACGAAUGGCGUAAUGAUGGCCAGGCUGUCUCCACCCGAGACUCAGUGAAAUUGAACUCGCUGUGAAGAUGCAGUGUACCCGCGGCAAGACGGAAAGACCCCGUGAACCUUUACUAUAGCUUGACACUGAACAUUGAGCCUUGAUGUGUAGGAUAGGUGGGAGGCUUUGAAGUGUGGACGCCAGUCUGCAUGGAGCCGACCUUGAAAUACCACCCUUUAAUGUUUGAUGUUCUAACGUGGACCCGUAAUCCGGGUUGCGGACAGUGUCUGGUGGGUAGUUUGACUGGGGCGGUCUCCUCCUAAAGAGUAACGGAGGAGCACGAAGGUUGGCUAAUCCUGGUCGGACAUCAGGAGGUUAGUGCAAUGGCAUAAGCCAGCUUGACUGCGAGCGUGACGGCGCGAGCAGGUGCGAAAGCAGGUCAUAGUGAUCCGGUGGUUCUGAAUGGAAGGGCCAUCGCUCAACGGAUAAAAGGUACUCCGGGGAUAACAGGCUGAUACCGCCCAAGAGUUCAUAUCGACGGCGGUGUUUGGCACCUCGAUGUCGGCUCAUCACAUCCUGGGGCUGAAGUAGGUCCCAAGGGUAUGGCUGUUCGCCAUUUAAAGUGGUACGCGAGCUGGGUUUAGAACGUCGUGAGACAGUUCGGUCCCUAUCUGCCGUGGGCGCUGGAGAACUGAGGGGGGCUGCUCCUAGUACGAGAGGACCGGAGUGGACGCAUCACUGGUGUUCGGGUUGUCAUGCCAAUGGCACUGCCCGGUAGCUAAAUGCGGAAGAGAUAAGUGCUGAAAGCAUCUAAGCACGAAACUUGCCCCGAGAUGAGUUCUCCCUGAGACUUAGAGUCUCCUGAAGGAACGUUGAAGACGACGACGUUGAUAGGCCGGGUGUGUAAGCGCAGCGAUGCGUUGAGCUAACCGGUACUAAUGAACCGUGAGGCUUAACCUU
Molecule: ribosomal RNA, 3006 nt
Filed under: Salmonella enterica subsp. enterica serovar Gaminara
Lineage: Bacteria; Pseudomonadati; Pseudomonadota; Gammaproteobacteria; Enterobacterales; Enterobacteriaceae
Description: 23S ribosomal RNA
Rfam family: Bacterial large subunit ribosomal RNA
Source: RNAcentral